Molecule: ribosomal RNA, 253 nt
Filed under: uncultured bacterium
Lineage: Bacteria
Description: partial 16S ribosomal RNA
Rfam family: Bacterial small subunit ribosomal RNA
Source: RNAcentral
UACGUAGGCAGCAAGCGUUGUUCGGAGUUACUGGGCGUAAAGGGUGUGUAGGCGGUUGUUUAAGUUUGGUGUGAAAUCUCCCGGCUCAACCGGGAGGGUGCGCCGAAUACUGAAUGACUCGAGUGCGGGAGAGGAGAGUGGAAUUCCUGGUGUAGCGGUGAAAUGCGUGGAUAUCAGGAGGAACACCGGUGGUGUAGACGGCUCUCUGGACCGUAACUGACGCUGAGGCACGAAAGCGUGGGUAGCAAACAGG